This 104-nucleotide small nuclear RNA is filed under the name Peromyscus maniculatus bairdii (prairie deer mouse). The record is from RNAcentral. Lineage: Eukaryota; Metazoa; Chordata; Mammalia; Rodentia; Cricetidae.
GUGCUCACUUCAGCAGCACAUACACUAAAAUUGGAACCACACAGAGAUUAGUAUGGCCCCUGUACAAGGAUGGCAUGCAAAUUAAUGAAUUGUUCUGUAGUUUU